AGCCUGACCCCAGGGGCCCUCAGGCUUGGGCACACCGUCUCUAGGACAGACAUACCCAUUUUUGCUGUAGGGCCCCGAUGAUGAGCCCGGGGGUGGCUUGGCACUGAAGCAAAGGAUGCCAGGGCUCAGCUGGCAGCAAACUGACCAGGAAACUGAGGCUUGGGCCUAGAGGCCAGGAUGCCUCUUGGUCCCAGUCCACCCUCACUCAGAGCUUUACCAAUGCCCUCUGGGUAGUUGUCGGGUAGCGGUGGACGCCACUGAUACUCUGGCCAGCCUAGGACUUCGCCAUUCCGCUGAUUCUGCUCCUCCAGCCACUGGUUGAGCGGUUGGAAGUACUCCAGCAGUGCCUUGGCAUCCAGGGCAUCUGAGCCUACCAGGUCCUUCAGCACCUCCUGCCAGGGCCUGGAGCAGCCAGCCUGCAAUACCUGCCUGCCAAACAGAGUGACCACUGUGGGCACAGGGGACACAGGGUGACAGCUGGACUAAGGACUGUCUGUUGGGAAGAAGGCAGAAAUGGAGCAUAGCCCAGGAAGGAGCAUUCUGACUGUCAACCUUUGGGUCCGAAAGAGGACAGAGCAGGAAUGUGGGUAGAGAAGAUACCUGAUGUAUGGUGUCACGCUCGGGAUGUGAAACUUGGCUCCGGCAUCAAAAUGGGUUUCAUUCCGGGAAACUGGUGGGCAGAUCCCCUGAUACUUGGUUCUAGAAGAGGAUGUUUAAAUCCUAAGGGCCUAGGCUGUACAGAUUGCCUGAGACUUGCAGAGAAGACACUGGUUCCACCCCUCCUA
Mastomys coucha (southern multimammate mouse) is the source of this 785-nucleotide long non-coding RNA. RefSeq lists it as uncharacterized. Lineage: Eukaryota; Metazoa; Chordata; Mammalia; Rodentia; Muridae. The record is from RefSeq and is a predicted model, not a curated record. The transcript is spliced from 2 exons.